This is a long non-coding RNA of Armigeres subalbatus, 1737 nucleotides long. RefSeq lists it as uncharacterized. The record is from RefSeq and is a predicted model, not a curated record. The transcript is spliced from 4 exons. NCBI's taxonomy places the organism in Eukaryota, Metazoa, Arthropoda, Insecta, Diptera, Culicidae.
UCUCUGUACUAUCACAUUUAAAGAUUAUGCGAUUUUAAAUCUCGCAACACUGGUCAAAUCGAGUUUCAGAUGUUUACCGAUCGUAUCGCCAUUUUUAUUUUCAUUGCUGAUUGCAAUUUUUGUAGUGAAGUUAAAUCAAAAUUUAAUUAUCGGUGUAAAGUGCGCUUGUAAACUAAUUUAGCAAAUUGGAUUGUUGUGAAGAGCGGAGCCAGAAAGCAUUUAUUUACGGUGGAAAAGGAUUCCCACUACUGCACCGAUUAGGGAACCAGAUCGCUAUGGUAUGGUCCGGAGCUUGUGGCUGACUUUGAAGAAGAGUUUUAGAUGGUUAUGAAAAACCCCGGCACACACGGGUCGAAAAGGAUGAGGACAAAAAGAAGGGAUAGACAGACAAUUAAAACCCCUUUGAUGACCACUUCGGGAACGACGUUGAAUAAAAAGAUGCAUUCGGAACAGGAGUUUGCUGAGUGCAAAGUAAGAUUCGUUUAGGGCCAAUCAUAAAAGUCGGACGUGAACGUGAAGUGCAUCCGACUGAACACCGGAUCGGGAAGCCCGGUUAACUCGUUCUUUUGGCGACGAUUGAGAAAGGUUUCGGAAUCAUAUGAGGGGAAACAAAAGAACGUUGUCUUGUAACGCGGAUUAACUGGGUAAUGCAAUGUGGCUUUAUGGAUUAUUCUGACGCGAGUAAUUUACGUAAGAAUCGAUCGUUCAAGUCCAGGAAAGAAUAUCACACACGGCCGUGUUAUUUGAAGUUUCUUCCGUGCCCUGUCAGUCAGAAAGAUUGGAUUUGCGAGAAAUAUCGAAUAAAUCAACGAACUGUAAAACCGCGUUGCCGUAGCUGAGCAUGAAAAGCGGAUCUUGUCCGAUCCUGUGGCACAGUUUUGAAACAAUCCGACGAUUGAUUCGGUCACCCAAACAGUGUUUGCAUUAUUUCGGCCUGCUGCAAUAUGUUGCGAUCCAUCCCGAAACUCGGUUUGUUUUCCAGGCGGCUUUGCGUAACGGGAUUUUGCUACCCGAAUUCAGGAGGAUAAAUUCACUGUUUCGGAUUCAGUAUCUCAAGAAUUACUUAGAACCAUAACCGCACCUGGGGCCGACCCGUGAAAGGUUGGUAUUAGCUGCUAUCUAAUUCAUAGAUAAACACCAAGGCUGUUAUAACUACAUUCACCGGGUGGCAUUGGCUAUGCACGUUAUAUGUUUGGUGAUGCGAGUAUUCUGGAUGAAGAUAAGACACCACUCGGUUCGACCGAGCUUUCGCAAUUGAUUUUCAUCAAGCCGGUUCGUAUCAAUUUUACUUCAGAGCUCAAAGUCGGGUUAGAAGACGGUUCACGGAAGGGUUGGUCACAAGAUCCAACCAGAAUAUAGCGCUCUGGUGACGCCGACGGAACGCUGCAUUCAUCGGUGUGUAUUAGGCGUGUUUGACGACAUCUAACGGUACCGAUUUUCGUACCGCUCCGGAACUGGAGAAUUUCAAUUGAGCAGCCACUCACCUUCGGCCAUACUAUUUCACUGGAUCCAAAGUUCGUUCGAUUACGCUGCACUUGGCUGAUAUUGCCGUUAGAUGGACGAACGGUCAGGACAACAAAUCAUAAUUUAUGGUCAUCGACAGUGAAAUUUACCAUUCUACGAAUCUGCGCACCAUGCCGCUUCUGCUAAAUGAAAAAAAUAGGUUUAAAUCGGCAUAAAUCGUAUUAUGUUUUGUUUAAAUUUCGUUUGUUCGAUUUCGAACAUGAAUAAUUAAAU